RNAcentral lists this non-coding RNA (253 nucleotides) under Emergomyces pasteurianus Ep9510. RNAcentral's name for it is "Emergomyces pasteuriana Ep9510 Eukaryotic large subunit ribosomal RNA". It matches the Rfam family "Eukaryotic large subunit ribosomal RNA", at positions 1901 to 2148 of the family's 3401-position model. The record is from Rfam by way of RNAcentral. Lineage: Eukaryota; Fungi; Ascomycota; Eurotiomycetes; Onygenales; Ajellomycetaceae.
UAGAUAAGGGAAGUCAGCAAAAUAGAUCUGUAACUUCAGGAAAAGAAUUGACUCUAAGGCUUGGGGUUGAGCACAUUGUCCUUGGGUGGAGAUCUCUGGAGCAGGGGGGCACUAGCUGGACAACCAGUGGGCGCCUCUCAGCAUCAGGGUGUGGAUGCCUUUGGUGGGCUUCAGCCAUCUGGUAUGUGAUUAACAAUCAACCUAGAACUAAUACAUACUCAAGAGGCACUAGCGGCUGCCUGCUACAUAUUUA